CCACGGCCCGACCGGCAGGCUUGCGG
Molecule: unclassified non-coding RNA, 26 nt
Filed under: Pseudorhizobium banfieldiae
Lineage: Bacteria; Pseudomonadati; Pseudomonadota; Alphaproteobacteria; Hyphomicrobiales; Rhizobiaceae
Description: Rhizobium sp. NT-26 nos_TCE
Source: RNAcentral